This 610-nucleotide ribosomal RNA is filed under the name Staphylococcus aureus. RNAcentral's name for it is "partial 23S ribosomal RNA". It matches the Rfam family "Bacterial large subunit ribosomal RNA", at positions 2282 to 2893 of the family's 2925-position model. The record is from RNAcentral. Lineage: Bacteria; Bacillati; Bacillota; Bacilli; Caryophanales; Staphylococcaceae.
GUCGCCUCCUAAAAGGUAACGGAGGCGCUCAAAGGUUCCCUCAGAAUGGUUGGAAAUCAUUCAUAGAGUGUAAAGGCAUAAGGGAGCUUGACUGCGAGACCUACAAGUCGAGCAGGGUCGAAAGACGGACUUAGUGAUCCGGUGGUUCCGCAUGGAAGGGCCAUCGCUCAACGGAUAAAAGCUACCCCGGGGAUAACAGGCUUAUCUCCCCCAAGAGUUCACAUCGACGGGGAGGUUUGGCACCUCGAUGUCGGCUCAUCGCAUCCUGGGGCUGUAGUCGGUCCCAAGGGUUGGGCUGUUCGCCCAUUAAAGCGGUACGCGAGCUGGGUUCAGAACGUCGUGAGACAGUUCGGUCCCUAUCCGUCGUGGGCGUAGGAAAUUUGAGAGGAGCUGUCCUUAGUACGAGAGGACCGGGAUGGACAUACCUCUGGUGUACCAGUUGUCGUGCCAACGGCAUAGCUGGGUAGCUAUGUGUGGACGGGAUAAGUGCUGAAAGCAUCUAAGCAUGAAGCCCCCCUCAAGAUGAGAUUUCCCAACUUCGGUUAUAAGAUCCCUCAAAGAUGAUGAGGUUAAUAGGUUCGAGGUGGAAGCAUGGUGACAUGUGGAGCUG